GAUGAACGCUAGCGGCAGGCCUAACACAUGCAAGUCGAGGGGCAGCACGUGUAGCAAUACAUGGUGGCGACCGGCGCACGGGUGAGUAACGCGUAUGCAACCUACCCAUAACAAGGGGAUAGCUUUCGGAAACGGAAAUUAAUACCCUAUAGUACCUAAUUGUCGCAUGGCAAUAAGGUUAAAACUCCGGUGGUUAUGGAUGGGCAUGCGUGCCAUUAGUUAGUUGGCGGGGUAACGGCCCACCAAGACUGUGAUGGUUAGGGGGUCUAAAAGGAUGAUCCCCCACACUGGUACUGAGACACGGACCAGACACCUACGGGUGGCAG
Molecule: ribosomal RNA, 326 nt
Filed under: uncultured Bacteroidota bacterium
Lineage: Bacteria; Pseudomonadati; Bacteroidota
Description: bacterial SSU rRNA
Rfam family: Bacterial small subunit ribosomal RNA
Source: RNAcentral